AAUCUUAAAAUACUCUAUCCUCUAUCAUCCGUUUGCUUGACAGAUUUUAAAAGUAAUCUAUCCUUUAUCAUUCAUCCGAUGGUAUAAAUCUUAAAGCACUUCAUUCUUAUCAUUUAUCCAUCUAUAUAGCUCUUAAAAUGCUCCAUCCUCUCUUAUCCAUCCACUUACAUAUAUCUUAAAAUGCUAUAUCCUUUAUCAUUCAUCUAACUGCAUAGAUCUCAAAGCACUCUUGCAUAGAUCUCAAAGUGCUUUAUCCUUUAUCAGCCAUCUAUCUAUAUAGAUCUCAAAAUGCUCAAUCCUCUAUUAUUCUUCCAUUUGCACAGAUCUCAAAAUGCUCAAUAUUAUAUCAUUAUCUAUCUACAUAGAUUUCAAAGUAUUCUAUCUUCUAUCAUCCAUUUGCUUAUACAGAUCUCAAAGUGCUUCAUUCGAUAUCAUCCAUCCAUCUACAUAGAUCUCAACUCUAUUAUCCAUCCACAUAAAUCUCAACUCCAUCUGUCAUCCAUUAAUUCACUUACAUAAAUCUCAAAGCUCUACAUCCUCUAUCAUCCAUCUGCUUGCAUAGAUCUUGAAGUAUAUAGUUCUCGAUCAUUUAUUUAUCUAUAUAGAUCUCAAAACACUCCAUCAUUUGUUAUUCGUCUUUCUACAU
This 646-nucleotide long non-coding RNA is filed under the name Elaeis guineensis (African oil palm). Its description in RNAcentral is "long non-coding RNA (EGUI_LNC038914)". Lineage: Eukaryota; Viridiplantae; Streptophyta; Magnoliopsida; Arecales; Arecaceae. The record is from RNAcentral.